GACGAACGCUGGCGGCGUGCUUAACACAUGCAAGUCGAACGGAAAGGCCCUGCUUUUGUGGGGUGCUCGAGUGGCGAAAGGGUGAGUAACACGUGAGUAACCUGCCCUUGACUUUGGGAUAACUUCAGGAAACUGGGGCUAAUACCGGAUAGGAGCUCCUGCUGCAUGGAGGGGGUUGGAAAGUUUCGGCGGUUGGGGAUGGACUCGCGGCUUAUCAGCUUGUUGGUGGGGUAGUGGCUUACCAAGGCUUUGACGGGUAGCCGGCCUGAGAGGGUGACCGGCCACCUUGGGACUGAGAGACGGCCCAGACUCCUACGGGAGGCAGCAGUGGGGAAUAUUGCACAAUGGGCGGAAGCCUGAUGCAGCAACGCCGCGUGCGGGAUGACGGCCUUCGGGUUGUAAACCGCUUUCGCCUGAGACGAAGCGUGAGUGACGGUAAUGGGUAAAGAAGCACCGGCUAACUACGUG
Molecule: ribosomal RNA, 468 nt
Filed under: uncultured bacterium
Lineage: Bacteria
Description: partial 16S ribosomal RNA
Rfam family: Bacterial small subunit ribosomal RNA
Source: RNAcentral